GAUGAUCGCUAGCUACAGGCUUAACACAUGCAAGUCGAGGGGUAACAAGAGAAAAGCUUGCUUUUCUUGUUGACGACCGGCGCACGGGUGAGUAACGCGUAUCCAACCUGCCUAUAACUAGGGAAUAACCUUGCGAAAGUAAGACUAAUACCCUAUGAUUUCCUUUGAUGACAUCAGAUUAGGAAUAAAGAUUUAUCGGUUAUAGAUGGGGAUGCGUCUGAUUAGCUUGUUGGCGGGGUAAAGGCCCACCAAGGCAACGAUCAGUAGGGGUUCUGAGAGGAAGGUCCCCCACAUUGGAACUGAGACACGGUCCAAACUCCUACGGGAGGCAGCAGUGAGGAAUAUUGGUCAAUGGGCGGAAGCCUGAACCAGCCAAGUAGCGUGCAGGAUGACGGCCCUAUGGGUUGUAAACUGCUUUUAUACAGGAAUAAAGUUAGCCACGUGUGGUUAUUUGUAGGUACUGUAUGAAUAAGGACCGGCUAAUUCCGUGCCAGCAGCCGCGGUAA
This 506-nucleotide ribosomal RNA is filed under the name uncultured bacterium. RNAcentral describes it as "partial 16S ribosomal RNA". It matches the Rfam family "Bacterial small subunit ribosomal RNA", at positions 28 to 523 of the family's 1533-position model. The record is from RNAcentral.